UGGUUAGCUAUAAAGGAGGCUAUCCAGUUCGCAGUUCUAUUUGUCUUCCUGAACCGAGAAUCGACUUUCACUCAUACAUAGUUUAUAUGUACUCAUCUAUCAUGGAUACAGAUGCACUGAGGAGUGAAGACACUUUCAUUAACCUAUCUCUAGACCAAUUUACCUAUCCUUUUAUGGCUGUAAUCGGACCACUGUUUGAUGCUCAUCACUGUGCAGCGCAUUUUGGCGAAAGUUGGAUCCAAAAGCCAGUGAAUAGAUCAUGCAAGCAAUGGCUGCUAAUCUAAUAAGACCAGAUUCUGUACCUGGUGUUUUAUAAACCACCAGGACCUAUGAGACCUAAUGGUUUAUAAACUAGUUGGUACAGCAUCUAGUCUUAUAAUUUUCUGUUAGAUUAGCAACUACUGCUUGCAUGGUGGAUUUAAUCAUCCAUUAGGAACUCUUUUUUCUCUUUUCUUUUUUCUUUUUUGAGGACAGAGAUGUUGACCCAUCGGAAUUCAUGAAAAUGUGAACUAUUUGCUCGCAUACGUAUCGAUUUGAUAGCCUACGGUGCACUGCUUGCGCUGUCAAACAAUUGCAUUACCAUCCACCUGAAGGAAAUUUUGUGCAAACCAGGUCACGUCUGGGUCAUUACCAAAAUUCGAAAAUCUAGCCAUUGACGUAACAGUAUGCUGCGUCUAUGUAGUCCGCCAACCGCGAGGAAUCUUCUACCAGCUGGCCGUAAAUGUUAUCAGCUUCAAGAACGCAUGCUACUCCUCCAUUUGAAUUGCUUUCCUCGCUUGCAUCUCCAUUUUCUGCGUCUCGCGUCUCAACUUCAUGUUUUAUUUCACCUCGAACUCUUGUCAUCCCCUGAAUCAGUUCCAACUACUGCAUUUUUCCAGGUUUCUUGUCCAAUAGGCUUUUGAACUGCUUCCUACCUUUCCUCACUUGUUUUACGAAAAACAUUCAUGAAUAACUAAUGCAAACAUAAAAAUAGCUGCAUUAUCUGGGUGGGGUUUUACAAAAGCACUGCCAAUGCUUAUCAUCUGAAGGAUAAUACUUGAAUUUCUAUUUGCAAAUGUUUAAUCAACACAAUUAGAUUGCUACACAUUAAACAUAAGAUGUCUAGUUUUUUUAAUAAAAUAAGAAGAAAAAGAAAAGAAACAGAAACGAAAAAUAAGCAAAACAAACUAAUUCAGAAUCUCUCUGAACUCCAGCUCGAGCAGGCCAUGCCGCACAUCAGUAUAAAGAUUUGAAUGUACUCGGUUUGCAUGAUGGAUCUAGGACCUCCCUUGAAAAUUAAUGAAAAUAACUAAGAGCCAAGUGAUAUUACAUCUAUUCUCUGCAUCUGGUCGCAGGCUGCCACAGUUAGAUGUCAUGAAUUCUACAUGCAUCAUGAAGAGAUAAUACGUUAAAAUCAAAUUAUAGAGGAAACAUUCAAAAUAAUGGGGCAGUUUUCAUGCAAGAUUAUGUUAGAUUCUUUUAGAGACAGCACAAUCAGUUGGGAAUCGGAUAAUUUGGCUAAUGGAACCAUAUCUAGGAUAAAGUGUAACUUCUAUUCUCUUCUUCUAUUAGGUUAGAUAGGAAAUAAAGAAGUUACUUGGAUGGAUUUACAUAGAUGAUCUUAUUCUUGAAUUCAAAGAUUUGUCCUGCCUCAUCACCCUGUGCAUGUAAAUGAAUAUAUUCCUGAACAACCAGUAAGUAUUUUUUUUAAAAAAAGAAUCUAUGAUUAUGGCAAAAAUUAAUUAAAGACUGGCAUCAAAAUGGUUUAAAUUAAAUUACUACCGUCAAAAAUGUUAUAACAUGAUGGCUAUCCAUGCAAUGAGGUCAGCACGAACAACUUGUAGAAGAGAAAA
This 1832-nucleotide long non-coding RNA is filed under the name Phoenix dactylifera (date palm). Its description in RNAcentral is "long non-coding RNA (PDAC_LNC006043)". The record is from RNAcentral. Lineage: Eukaryota; Viridiplantae; Streptophyta; Magnoliopsida; Arecales; Arecaceae.